RNAcentral lists this long non-coding RNA (903 nucleotides) under Salvator merianae (Argentine black and white tegu). RNAcentral describes it as "lncRNA (ENSSMRG00000023136.1)". The record is from RNAcentral. Lineage: Eukaryota; Metazoa; Chordata; Lepidosauria; Squamata; Teiidae.
UAAGUGUUGUAUUCCUAUGUUGCUCCUGUUUUUCCUCAGAUUUCUCCUGUGAACAAAAUAUUACCACUGAACUUGGAAGAGACAUUGUUUUUAAAUGUAACAGUAGUUGCUCUAUUGCACACAUGACAGUGAGAUUCUGCUCUUCUGAUGGAACCAAAUGUCCUCUUGAAAGUGACCUCAACACGUACAAAAAAAUACUCAGGACUGAAAGGGGAAGAAUUUCCUUGAUUAUGAUGGACACCCAUGCUAUUCUGAGUAUCAACCAUGUACAAAUAUAUGAUGAAAGGCCUUACAAGAUUUUUUUCCAGACACUAUGCGGGGACAAUGGUGAUAUGAAUUAUUUUCUGUUUCUAAAGGUGGUGGCACAAUAUUCUGAACCAAGUAUCACAGUGAAGAAUGGCAAUCUUGUAUGUGAGACCUAUGGAGGCUAUCCAGAAAGGCAACUCUAUUGGUUUGAUGAUCAAGGAAACAACUUGACGGACAAAGCAGAAUUCAGAGCUACAAAAAAUGAAAUAGACGGUUCAUUUUCUCUCAGCAGCUUACUUAAGCAAGAAUCAAGCAUCAACCCAGAGAGAUACACUUGUACUCUCAAUGAAACAGGCAUUUCAAGUAUGCCUCAAAAUUUUCCAGAAGUUGUGUCUGCAGAGGCAAUUGUGUUGGAACAGUCCACAAAAAACAGCUCCCUGGUCGUUGGCUUGGUGUUACCGGGGGUUUUGGUGUUUGUCUCUGUGUUAUUAUUUUUAUGCUAUAGAACUACGAAAGGAAAAGCACAGAAAAAGUUGGGACUCCAUCAGGCAUUUUUUAAAACUCUGCAGAGAACAAGAUCUACAGGAAAUUCAGCAUUCUAAGCAAAGUAAAACAACAACAACAAUAAAAUUUCUUUAUCCAAUAAAUUUAAGUGCA